UACGUAGGGUGCAAGCGUUGUCCGGAAUUAUUGGGCGUAAAGAGCUCGUAGGUGGCGGGUCACGUCGGGUGUGAAAGCCCGGGGCUUAACCCCGGGUCUGCAUUCGAUACGGGCUUGCUAGGGUCCGGCAGGGGAGACUGGAAUUCCUGGUGUAGCGGUGAAAUGCGCAGAUAUCAGGAGGAACACCGGUGGCGAAGGCGGGUCUCUGGGCCGGUACUGACGCUGAGACGCGAAAGCGUGGGGAGCGAACAGG
RNAcentral lists this ribosomal RNA (253 nucleotides) under uncultured bacterium. RNAcentral's name for it is "partial 16S ribosomal RNA". It matches the Rfam family "Bacterial small subunit ribosomal RNA", at positions 524 to 776 of the family's 1533-position model. The record is from RNAcentral.